This 607-nucleotide ribosomal RNA is filed under the name metal-contaminated soil clone K20-17. RNAcentral describes it as "bacterial SSU rRNA". It matches the Rfam family "Bacterial small subunit ribosomal RNA", at positions 53 to 653 of the family's 1533-position model. The record is from RNAcentral. Lineage: Bacteria; Pseudomonadati; Pseudomonadota; Betaproteobacteria.
ACAUGCAAGUCGAACGGCAGCACGGGGGCAACCCUGGUGGCGAGUGGCGAACGGGUGAGUAACACAUCGGAACGUACCCUAUCGUGGGGGAUAACCAGUCGAAAGAUUGGCUAAUACCGCAUGAUCUGGAGACAGCAAAGCAGGGGACCGGAAACGGCCUUGCGCGAUUGGAGCGGCCGAUGUCCGAUUAGCUAGUUGGUGGGGUAAAGGCUCACCAAGGCUUCGAUCGGUAGCUGGUCUGAGAGGAUGAUCAGCCACACUGGGACUGAGACACGGCCCAGACUCCUACGGGAGGCAGCAGUGGGGAAUUUUGGACAAUGGGGGCAACCCUGAUCCAGCCAUGCCGCGUGAGUGAAGAAGGCCUUCGGGUUGUAAAGCUCUUUCGGUGGGAACGAAACGGUUACAGCUAAUACCUGUGACUACUGACGGUACUCAUAGAAGAAGCACCGGCUAACUACGUGCCAGCAGCCGCGGUAAUACGUAGGGUGCGAGCGUUAAUCCGAAUUACUGGGCGUAAAGCGUGCGCAGGCGGUCUCGUAAGCUGGGUGUGAAAGCCCCGGGCUUAACCUGGGAAUGGCAUUCAGGACUGCGAGGCUCGAGUGUGGCA